UUUGAUCCUGGCUCAGAGCGAACGCUGGCGGCAUGCUUAACACAUGCAAGUCGCACGAAGGUUUCGGCCUUAGUGGCGGACGGGUGAGUAACGCGUAGGAAUCUAUCCACGGGUGGGGGAUAACUUCGGGAAACUGAAGCUAAUACCGCAUGAUACCUGAGGGUCAAAGGCGCAAGUCGCCUGUGGAGGAGCCUGCGUUUGAUUAGCUUGUUGGUGGGGUAAUGGCCUACCAAGGCGAUGAUCGAUAGCUGGUUUGAGAGGAUGAUCAGCCACACUGGGACUGAGACACGGCCCAGACUCCUGCGGGAGGCAGCAGUGGGGAAUAUUGGACAAUGGGGGCAACCCUGAUCCAGCAAUGCCGCGUGUGUGAAGAAGGUUUUCGGAUUGUAAAGCACUUUCGGCGGGGACGAUGAUGACGGUACCCGCAGAAGAAGCCCCGGCUAACUUCGUGCCAGCAGCCGCGGUAAUACGAAGGGGGCUAGCGUUGCUCGGAAUGACUGGGCGUAAAGGGCGUGUAGGCGGUUUGUACAGUCAGAUGUGAAAUCCCCGGGCUUAACCUGGGAGCUGCAUUUGAUACGUGCAAACUAUAGUGUGACAGAGGGUUGUGGAAUUCCCAGUGUAGAGGUGAAAUUCGUAGAUAUUGGGAAGAACACCGGUGGCGAAGGCGGCAACCUGGCUCAUAACUGACGCUGAGGCGCGAAAGCGUGGGGAGCAAACAGGAUUAGAUACCCUGGUAGUCCACGCUGUAAACGAUGUGUGCCAGAUGUUGGGUAACUUACUUAUUCAGUGUCGUAGUUAACGCGUUAAGCACACCGCCUGGGGA
Molecule: ribosomal RNA, 823 nt
Filed under: uncultured Acetobacter sp.
Lineage: Bacteria; Pseudomonadati; Pseudomonadota; Alphaproteobacteria; Acetobacterales; Acetobacteraceae
Description: bacterial SSU rRNA
Rfam family: Bacterial small subunit ribosomal RNA
Source: RNAcentral